RNAcentral lists this long non-coding RNA (680 nucleotides) under Malus domestica (apple). RNAcentral describes it as "long non-coding RNA (MDOM_LNC017835)". The record is from RNAcentral. Lineage: Eukaryota; Viridiplantae; Streptophyta; Magnoliopsida; Rosales; Rosaceae.
CCACCAACCAAGUGAUGAAAGCAACUCACCAUUCAUUCCACCUAUCAAAAGAUGAGUGGUACAACUUGUACAUGUGAACUCCUAGCAUUCACAAAUUAUCAAAAACCCUCAAGCUUAACAACUCAACUAGGGGAGCACUUAUGCCCAACAAAAGUUAUAGUCACCAACAAAGUCUUAUUGCAAGCCAACAACAACUUCAGUGCAUGGCAUACGAAGAUCAAGUUAUUCAGCCUUCUUGCAUCUGCUUCAAACAUUUCCCCUCUAUAACAAUGCAAACACUACAACUCGUAGAAAGCUUCACACUCUUGAUUAAGACAGUGUGAAGCAAAACCAAUUUAUAGUGCCAACAAGAGAUUCAUCAAUGGAGGUCAACCACAAUCUCAAAAGCUUCACACACUCUUGUUCAAGGCAGUGUGAAGUAAAACCAAUUUAUAAUGCCAACAAGAGAUUCAUCAAAGGAGUUCAACCACAAUUCUCAAAAGCUUCACACACUCUUGAUCAAGACAGUGUGAAGCAAAACCAAUUUAUGGUGCCAACAAGAGCUUCAUCAAUGGAGGGCAACCACAAUUCUCAAAAGCUUCACACACUUUUGAUCAAGACAGUGUAAAGCAAAACCAAUUUAUGGCGCCAACAAGAGCUUCAUCAAUGGAAGACAACCACAAUUCUCAAAAACUUCACGC